RNAcentral lists this ribosomal RNA (2309 nucleotides) under Acinetobacter baumannii 44467_2. RNAcentral describes it as "bacterial LSU rRNA". It matches the Rfam family "Bacterial large subunit ribosomal RNA", at positions 14 to 2359 of the family's 2925-position model. Lineage: Bacteria; Pseudomonadati; Pseudomonadota; Gammaproteobacteria; Moraxellales; Moraxellaceae. The record is from RNAcentral.
AGUGCAUGUGGUGGAUGCCUUGGCAGUCAGAGGCGAUGAAAGACGUGAUAGCCUGCGAAAAGCUCCGGGGAGGCGGCAAAUAUCCUUUGAUCCGGAGAUGUCUGAAUGGGGGAACCCACCUACUUUAAGGUAGGUAUUGCAACAUGAAUACAUAGUGUUGCAAGGCGAACGAGGGGAAGUGAAACAUCUCAGUACCCUUAGGAAAAGAAAUCAAUUGAGAUUCCCUCAGUAGCGGCGAGCGAACGGGGAUCAGCCCAUUAAGUUAUGUGUGUUUUAGUGGAACGCUCUGGGAAGUGCGAACGUAGAGGGUGAUAUUCCCGUACACGAAAGGGCACACAUAAUGAUGACGAGUAGGGCGAGGCACGUGAAACCUUGUCUGAAUAUGGGGGGACCAUCCUCCAAGGCUAAAUACUCCUGACUGACCGAUAGUGAACCAGUACCGUGAGGGAAAGGCGAAAAGAACCCCUGUGAGGGGAGUGAAAUAGAUCCUGAAACCGCAUGCAUACAAGCAGUGGGAGCACCUUCGUGGUGUGACUGCGUACCUUUUGUAUAAUGGGUCAGCGACUUAUAUUCAGUAGCGAGGUUAACCGUAUAGGGGAGCCGUAGAGAAAUCGAGUCUUAAUAGGGCGUUUAGUUGCUGGGUAUAGACCCGAAACCAGGCGAUCUAUCCAUGAGCAGGUUGAAGGUUGGGUAACACUAACUGGAGGACCGAACCCACUGUCGUUGAAAAGCCAGGGGAUGACUUGUGGAUAGGGGUGAAAGGCUAAUCAAGCCUGGUGAUAGCUGGUUCUCCCCGAAAGCUAUUUAGGUAGCGCCUCGGACGAAUACCAUAGGGGGUAGAGCACUGUUUCGGCUAGGGGGUCAUCCCGACUUACCAAACCGAUGCAAACUCCGAAUACCUAUGAGUACUAUCCGGGAGACAGACUGCGGGUGCUAACGUCCGUAGUCAAGAGGAAAACAAUCCAGACCGCCAGCUAAGGCCCCAAAAUCAUAGUUAAGUGGGAAACGAUGUGGGAAGGCAUAGACAGCUAGGAGGUUGGCUUAGAAGCAGCCACCCUUUAAAGAAAGCGUAAUAGCUCACUAGUCGAGUCGGCCUGCGCGGAAGAUGUAACGGGGCUAAAACUAUGUGCCGAAGCUGCGGAUGUAUACUUUGUAUACGUGGUAGGGGAGCGUUCUGUAAGCCGAUGAAGGUGUGUUGAGAAGCAUGCUGGAGGUAUCAGAAGUGCGAAUGCUGACGUGAGUAACGACAAAACGGGUGAAAAACCCGUUCGCCGAAAGACCAAGGGUUCCAGUCCAACGUUAAUCGGGGCUGGGUGAGUCGACCCCUAAGGCGAGGCCGAAAGGCGUAGUCGAUGGGAAAAUGGUUAAUAUUCCAUUACUUCUGUGUAAUGCGAUGAGAGGACGGAGAAGGCUAAAUCAGCCUGGCGUUGGUUGUCCAGGUGAAAGGAUGUAGGCAUGUAUCUUAGGCAAAUCCGGGGUACUCUAUGCUGAGAUCUGAUAGCAAGCUGUACUUGUACAGCGAAGUGGUUGAUGCCAUGCUUCCAGGAAAAGUCUCUAAGCUUCAGUUACACAGGAAUCGUACCCGAAACCGACACAGGUGGUCAGGUCGAGUAGACCAAGGCGCUUGAGAGAACUCUGCUGAAGGAACUAGGCAAAAUGGUACCGUAACUUCGGGAGAAGGUACGCUGUUGUUGGUGAUGGAACUCGCUUCCUGAGCUGACGACAGCCGCAGAAACCAGGCCGCUGCAACUGUUUAUUAAAAACAUAGCACUCUGCAAACACGAAAGUGGACGUAUAGGGUGUGAUGCCUGCCCGGUGCUGGAAGGUUAAUUGAUGGGGUUAGCGUAAGCGAAGCUCUUGAUCGAAGCCCCAGUAAACGGCGGCCGUAACUAUAACGGUCCUAAGGUAGCGAAAUUCCUUGUCGGGUAAGUUCCGACCUGCACGAAUGGCAUAAUGAUGGCGGCGCUGUCUCCAGCAGAGGCUCAGUGAAAUCGAAAUCGCUGUGAAGAUGCAGUGUACCCGCGGCUAGACGGAAAGACCCCGUGAACCUUUACUGCAGCUUGACACUGAACUUUGACCUUACUUGUGUAGGAUAGGUGGGAGGCUUUGAAGCUGGAACGCUAGUUCCAGUGGAGCCGUCCUUGAAAUACCACCCUGGUAAUGUUGAGGUUCUAACUCUGUCCCGUGAUCCGGGACGAGGACCGUGUCUGGUGGGUAGUUUGACUGGGGCGGUCUCCUCCUAAAGAGUAACGGAGGAGUACGAAGGUGCGCUCAGCGUGGUCGGAAAUCACGCGUAGAGUAUAAAGGCA